AGAGUCGCCUGGAUCACCGCGUUGCCGCAAGGCACCGAGGAAAGUCCGGACUUCACAGAGCAAGGUGGUGGGUAACGCCCACCCGGAGCAAUCCGCGGGAAAGUGCAACAGAAAGUAAACCGCCAAUAGCAAUAUUGGUAAGGGUGAAACGGCGGUGUAAGA
Molecule: RNase P RNA, 162 nt
Filed under: Actinomycetota bacterium
Lineage: Bacteria; Bacillati; Actinomycetota
Description: Actinobacteria bacterium partial RNase P RNA component class A
Rfam family: Bacterial RNase P class A
About the family: Ribonuclease P (RNase P) is a ubiquitous endoribonuclease, found in archaea, bacteria and eukarya as well as chloroplasts and mitochondria. Its best characterised activity is the generation of mature 5'-ends of tRNAs by cleaving the 5'-leader elements of precursor-tRNAs. Cellular RNase Ps are ribonucleoproteins.
Source: RNAcentral